CGGGAUGUAGCGCAGUUUGGUUAGCGUGCCUGUUUUGGGAACAGGAGGCCACGGGUUCAAAUCCCGUCUUCCCGA
RNAcentral lists this transfer RNA (75 nucleotides) under Seculamonas ecuadoriensis. RNAcentral's name for it is "tRNA-Pro". It matches the Rfam family "tRNA". From Rfam's summary of the family: Transfer RNA (tRNA) molecules are approximately 80 nucleotides in length. Their secondary structure includes four short double-helical elements and three loops (D, anti-codon, and T loops). Further hydrogen bonds mediate the characteristic L-shaped molecular structure. tRNAs have two regions of fundamental functional importance: the anti-codon, which is responsible for specific mRNA codon recognition, and the 3' end, to which the tRNAs corresponding amino acid is attached (by aminoacyl-tRNA synthetases). tRNAs cope with the degeneracy of the genetic code in two manners: having more than one tRNA (with a specific anti-codon) for a particular amino acid; and 'wobble' base-pairing, i.e. permitting non-standard base-pairing at the 3rd anti-codon position. The record is from RNAcentral. Lineage: Eukaryota; Jakobea; Jakobida; Moramonadidae.